RNAcentral lists this ribosomal RNA (468 nucleotides) under uncultured bacterium. RNAcentral describes it as "partial 16S ribosomal RNA". It matches the Rfam family "Bacterial small subunit ribosomal RNA", at positions 28 to 507 of the family's 1533-position model. The record is from RNAcentral.
GACGAACGCUGGCGGCGUGCUUAACACAUGCAAGUCGAACGGAAAGGCCCUGCUUUUGUGGGGUGCUCGAGUGGCGAACGGGUGAGUAACACGUGAGUAACCUGCCCUUGACUUUGGGAUAACUUCAGGAAACUGGGGCUAAUACCGGAUAGGAGCUCCUGCUGCAUGGUGGGGGUUGGAAAGUUUCGGCGGUUGGGGAUGGACUCGCGGCUUAUCAGCUUGUUGGUGGGGUAGUGGCUUACCAAGGCUUUGACGGGUAGCCGGCCUGGGAGGGUGACCGGCCACAUUGGGACUGAGAUACGGCCCAGACUCCUACGGGAGGCAGCAGUGGGGAAUAUUGCACAGUGGGCGGAAGCCUGGCGCGGCAACGCCGCGUGCGGGAUGACGGCCUUCGGGUUGUAAACCGCUUUCGCCUGUGACGAAGCGUGAGUGACGGUAAUGGGUAAAGAAGCACCGGCUAACUACGUG